AGAGUUCACAUUUUUUUCCUGACCAUCAGUCAGUGUGUGAUGUUUUCAUGAGGAAUCUGGAUGAACUUGGCUGGAAAGACUGGGAGGAGCCCUGUGGACUCCAGCAAGCAGAAUGUGCAGCAGGUAGUGAGUGCCGCUCAGGAGACUGUCGUCCAAGUAAACUAGCCCUCAUCCAGUGGCUAAUGGAAACAGAGUCAGACACCCACAGCUAUACACUGAACUGAACUCUGGAAUCCAGUUGCAGAGAGGGAGGAAUGAAGAUAAAAGCAGUUGGGACCAGGCUGGUGAAUCCCACAGAAACAACUGGCUUGAACAAGGGAGAACACAAGGACCCCAGACUGCUGUCUGGGAGGCCAGCAAGGGACUGUUCCAGACACCUGAACAUGGGUGUUAAUGAGGAGGCCUCAGCACUCUAUGGACCCCCUGGUAGUGGAUCAGUAUUUUUCCCUGGUGUAAGAAGGGACUUUGAGAGCCCAUCCCACGUGAAGGGAUAUUCUAGGCCUGAACCCAUCCUAGGCCCUCUCCAAGAUGAUGUGGUGCACUUUGGGAUCCCCCAUGGAGGGCCCUACCCUCCCUGGGAAUUGGAGCAGGGGUGGUAUGGGGGGCUGGUCGGG
Molecule: long non-coding RNA, 614 nt
Filed under: Cricetulus griseus (Chinese hamster)
Lineage: Eukaryota; Metazoa; Chordata; Mammalia; Rodentia; Cricetidae
Description: lncRNA (ENSCGRG00015032199.1)
Source: RNAcentral